UUCUGAUUGAUUUCCUGUUUCCUGUCUCGUCCUCUCCUCAUGGCUGCCUGCCUUAUCAUGAGAGAUUGGAGGACAGUGUAAGUGCAAGCGACAUGUGUCUGGCAGAAAGUGCAAUCACUGCCAACAUGGAUUCUACAAGCUGCAGCCCUUGCACCCUGAUGGCUGCCGCGCCUGUAACUGCAAUACCGGUGGGAACAUACAGGCAGAUAUUACCUGUCACCAGGACUCAGGUCAAUGCCAGUGCAAGGCAAACAUAAUCGGUAUUUUGCAGAAAUGAGAUUUGAUUAUAGCAAUUCAUUACCUCUGGCAUAUUUGGAGGGGACCAGCAGCUUCAUAUGGACAAAAUUUAUCAAAUGCACAAGUACACAGUGCACAAUGUACUUUGAAAUGUUAAUAUAUUGGAAUAUUAUGCAUGGAGCAGUUACAGUGAGGGCUGUAUUGUAGCAAAGCCCACAUCCCUCUCCAUAGCAAUGGACAAGGACAGUUGAACACAUUCACUUGCUGUGAUUUAAAUUAAACCCUUGUGCCUGACCUAC
Molecule: long non-coding RNA, 536 nt
Organism: Conger conger (European conger)
Lineage: Eukaryota; Metazoa; Chordata; Actinopteri; Anguilliformes; Congridae
Exons: 3
Source: RefSeq, a predicted model, not a curated record